Molecule: ribosomal RNA, 402 nt
Filed under: uncultured bacterium
Lineage: Bacteria
Description: bacterial SSU rRNA
Rfam family: Bacterial small subunit ribosomal RNA
Source: RNAcentral
AAUCAACGCUGGCGGCGUGCCUAACACAUGCAAGUCGAACGCGAAAGUCCCGCAAGGGAUUAGUAGAGUGGCAAACGGGUGAGUAACACGUGGGUGACCUGCCUUCGAGCGGGGGAUAACGUCCCGAAAGGGACGCUAAUACCGCAUAACAUCCUGCCUUUUAAGAGGCGGUGAUCAAAGCUGGGGAUUCGCAAGAACCUGGCACUUGAAGAGGGGCCCGCGCCUGAUUAGCUAGUUGGGGGGUAAUGGCCUACCAAGGCAACGAUCAGUAUCCGGCCUGAGAGGGCGGACGGACACACUGGGACUGAGACACGGCCCAGACUCCUACGGGAGGCAGCAGUGGGGAAUUGUUCGCAAUGGGCGCAAGCCUGACGACGCAACGCCGCGUGGAGGAUGAAGACC